GUUCAAUAUACCGCAGGGGGGUCAAAAUACCAUGGCUAAGUAAAAUUUUCAAAAUAUCUUUUCCAGAAUAUUAAAUACAUACAAACUACUUAUUGGAGUAUUACAACUAUGUUUAAGGAGUUAGAUAGCUUGAAUUUUUGAAAUUGAAGGUCUAUAGUAGGGGGUUCAAUAUACCGCAGGGGGGUCAAAAUACCAUGGCUAAGUAAAAUUUUCAAAAUAUCUUUUCCAGUAUAUUAAAUACAUACAAACUACUUAUUGGAGUAUUAUAACU
RNAcentral lists this long non-coding RNA (271 nucleotides) under Mytilus galloprovincialis (Mediterranean mussel). The record is from RNAcentral. Lineage: Eukaryota; Metazoa; Mollusca; Bivalvia; Mytilida; Mytilidae.